GCUGGGCAUGGUGUGCGUGCCUGUAAUCCCAGCUACUUGGGAGGCAGAGGCAGGAGAAUCGCUUGAACCCAGGAGGCAGAGGUUGCAGUGAGCCGAGAUCACGCCACUGUACUCCAGCCUGGGCAACAGAGCGAGACUCUGUCUCAA
Molecule: non-coding RNA, 147 nt
Filed under: Chlorocebus sabaeus (green monkey)
Lineage: Eukaryota; Metazoa; Chordata; Mammalia; Primates; Cercopithecidae
Source: Rfam by way of RNAcentral